CGCGUUUAGAGGACUACUGUUCAGUGGCGGUUUUCGCGAUCUUUGCGCAGUGUACCUCGGUUGAGCCGACGGUGUCGACCACCUUUUCCGAGCUUUUUGUUUGAUCGGAGAUAAAAGCGACAAUCGAGAACAGACAUCACUCAAUGUUACUGUAAAUUAUUGUGCUUUUUUGAUUAUUUCCGGCUGCAUCCAAUAAUUUUGGGUCUGACACUGGGAAAAUCCUUCUGCAGGCUUCUGACUGACAAACAGCUGCAACUUGUUUUUUUAUACGACAUUUUUUGUAGUGUCGGCGUUUUCAUUUUCCAUUGUUGACUGUCUUGACUUUUUUGUGUUUCCUUUUGAUUUUCCAAGUAUUCAUCGGACGAGUACGAACUGUAACUUUCUUCUUAUGGUGUAGUGUUUAGUGAUUCGCAAACAGUUGCUGUGAAGUUAUUUUGUACUGUGGAUACGAAUUUGAAAAAGUGACUGUUUUAUUAAAAAGUGUAUGGGAUUUCUUCGAGUUCAUCAACCAAUAGGUUAGUGGUGGUAAUUGACAUCAAUUGCGGUGGUUGGAUCUUGCUCCACUUGGUUAUUUAAGAAUUUCGUUUCGUGUGAAAGUGUUAAGACAUUGGGGCAAUUUCGCAAUUCUCCGGAGGAGUUUCAAUUGAUGAAAAGAAUAUGACCCAAGGCACUUCAAAAAUCACUUCCACGCCUAUACUUUUACAACGUCAUGAAUUAAAUUCCAAGAAAGAGUUCGGAAUUAGAAGAAAAAUGGCAACUAUAACAUCCCCUUUAAUCCUUUUACUUUGCUGUAUCCUGUCGACGUGCUCAGCACAACAGCAAUACUUCAGGGUGCAACCGAGAGACGUCAAGGUGCACGAAGGUGGUGAAAUAACGAUGGAAUGUGAAGUCGCGAAUUUGGCAGGCCAAGUGCAAUGGACCAAGGAUGGAUUCGCUUUAGGUUUCGAGGCCAUAAUCCCUGGAUUUCCUAGAUACUCCGUUAUAGGGGACAGGAGACACGGAGUAUACAACCUGAGGGUUAGCAACGCUUCUCUUGAGGACGACGCUGAAUAUCAGUGUCAAGUGGGUCCUGCCAGGAUGCACAAAGCUAUCAGAGCGAACGCCCGACUUAGCGUUAUAUCACCUCCCUCAUCUGUUGAAAUCUUAGGCCAUCCAAGUAAUUCGAAGAUUGAAAUAAGGGAAAACGAUGAGUUUCACUUAGAAUGCGCAGUUAAGAACGCUAAACCUGCUGCUAAAAUUGUUUGGUACAGGGGAAACGUUGAACUCAAUAUACCGAACAGAGAGGAUCAAGUAAUCGAAGUGCCGAACAAGAAAGGCAACCCUAACAUAAAACGCUACGACACCCAUUCCAGGAUAACUUUAAAACCCACAGCAGAAGACGACUACGAAGAUUAUACUUGCGAAGCAAGACACGAAGCUCUGCAAAGUGACCUACCGAUGAGAGCUACAGUCCAACUAAGCGUAUUUUAUCCCCCAGGAUUACCUUACAUCGAAGGAUACACCGAAGGUGAAACAAUACGAAGAGGUCAAACAGUCGAAUUGAUUUGUAGAAGUAGAGGAGGAAACCCCCCAGCUCAACUUAUAUGGUACAAAAAUGGCGAGCAAAUACGUAUGGCUUAUAGGACAGCUGGGAGAGUAUCGGAGAACGUUUAUACGUUUACUGCCGAUGCGACAGACAAUAAAGCUAGAUAUAAAUGCGAAGCCAGCAAUAUUAUGUCAAAAGCUCCUCUCAAAGCUGAAAUAGAUAUGACUGUUUUAUUUUCGCCUGCUCACGUAACUAUAUCCGGACCGACAGAAGCUAGAGUCGGGGAUCCCGUUCCUUUAACUUGUACAACGGCUAACAGCAAUCCCCCAGCGGAGAUUAAAUGGAUGGUUGGAGGAAAGCAAGUGAAAAACGCCACAUCGAGGACGGUUAUAUCACCAGAAGGGGGAUGGGUAACAACAUCGAAUAUUACAGCGAUCGUCGAGCCUAACAAGAAAAGUUUGGUCGUUAUAUGUCACGGUUUAAAUAUGCAGUUAACCGAGAACGUAGUAUCAACUUACACUAUUAACGUUUUACAUCCUCCAAGCAGCCCUUUUAUACACGGUUAUACCGAGGGACAAACAGUUCAAGUUGGAAGUAUUCAAAAAAUAUCUUGUACCUCAAGCGGGGGUAAUCCAUUGGCUUCUUUAACUUGGUACAAAAACGAUAAAAAAAUUCAUUCCGUUACAAAAACCACCGAUAAAUCAGUUACGGCUGAAAUUACAAUCCUAACGAAUGUUACUGAUAACGAAGCUCGUUAUAGAUGUGAAGCUGCUAACUCGGCCACUGAAAUACCAUUAUUUGAAACAAUAACUAUGAAAGUUCAUUUUCCGCCGGAACAUGUUAAAAUUAGGAAAGAUCCUCCAGAAUUUAGGCCUAAUGAGGAAGCAACUUUAACUUGUGACUCCAGUUCUAGUAAUCCCCCAGCUAAGUUGUCAUGGUGGCGAGAAGGAAUUCCCGUACAAGGUGUUUUAAAUACAACCAAAGCUGGAUUGCAUGGGGGAAAAGUUUCUAGCAUAGAGCUCAAACUUAAUAUUACCGAGCAAAUGAAUGGAAUCGUGUAUACUUGUCAAGCAACCAAUGAAGCUAUGCAAAGAUCAGUUCAUGACGCAGUUAUUCUUCAAGUUUUAUAUAAACCAGUUUUUGAUUCUGAAAAUGAAAAAUCAGUGACAGGAAUUGAAAACGAACCUCUUAUUAUCAGCUUAAAAGCCGACGGAAACCCCGGAAUGAUUUCUUACACUUGGACAAAAGAUGGUUUACCAAUUAUGCAAAAAGACAUAGGAUCAGGAUCUGACAGAAUCAAUUCUGAUGGGCCUGUUUUAAAUAUUACAAAACUUAGCAGACAUGAUGCCGGUACUUAUUCUUGUGAAGCCUUAAAUUCACAAGGCAACUCAGUUGCAACAGUAAACGUUACUGUUCAAUUUCCAGCAUUUAUCGUUGCCACAAGUGAUAACACAGUUGUUGCACCUAAAGAAGAUGCAACGUUAUCUUGUACAGCGGAAGGAAACCCAAUUAGCGAUGAUACAAUAACAUGGAGUCGAGAUGAUUUCCCAGAAUUCGACGCCAGAACUUCAGUAAUGUACGACAAAAAUGGAACUUCGUAUUUAAGAAUAACCGGUGUUAGCAGAGACGAUUUAGGGCAUUUCAAAUGUACCGUUAAUAAUGGAAUAGGAAAAUCAUCAAGCAGAAAAGUCAUGCUUAUCGUAAAACACAAACCUGAAGUCAAUCAAUCCCCAGCAUUCAUGAAAUUUGCUAGCGAUGCAGGAAACAUGGGAAAAAUAAUUUGUAGAAGUCAAGCUUCACCUUUAGCUAAAUAUUCAUGGUCGCGAAACGGAAGUCCCAUUGCAGCUAAUAAAACCGGAAAAUAUUUUUCUACUUAUAAACAAAUUGACUCAUUAGUGUCUGAAUCAAUUUUAAUUAUCACGCACGUCACAUCGGCUGAUUACGGUAACUACGAAUGCGUAGCAAGAAAUGAAUUGGGUUUCGCUACGAGUUCGCCGAGAUUAGAAAUCACUUCAUCUCCAGACACGCCUAGCUUGUUAACAAUACUAAACGUCACACACGAUUCGGUGACGCUCCAAUGGGUACCUGGUUUUAAUGGAGGCAUGCAAGCAUCAUACAGGAUCAGGUAUCGAGAAAUCGAAGACCAAAACUACAAAUACGAAGAUGUUCCGCCAUCGAAUUCGACUCAACACACCGUUAGAGGUUUGGAGAUUAGUACAGGAUAUGUCUUUUCCAUAAUGGCUUCGAAUAAAUUGGGUAACAGCAAAUACAUGCCAGAUGUAGUUUCAGCAAAGACAUUGAUGUUUUCCGAUCCAUUGGAAAAAUACAUACCGGAGGACCUGCAGGAGAAGCAGGACCUACCGAAGGUUGUUAUUAUUAGCGUCUCGAUUAUUGGCGUCGUCCUAGUUUUAGUCAAUAUUGUACUUGUUGUCGGGUGUAUGUUCAAAAAACGAGCAAAAAGAAUUAGAGAACAAAGUAACCAAACCAGCAAAUCAGCAACUAUUGAAAUGUAUGCUCCAAGCAGUUACAACGACACGGUUACAGGAGAAACUCUUUCCUCAGUUAGCGAAAAAAGUGAAACCUACAGUAAUGAAGGAAGUAACAAUGAUUAUGUGGAUGAAGGAAGAAAACAAGCCGCAAGUACCUACUUAAUGGAUCAACAAGAUUACAACAGCGCUUAUCCAGUUUACCCAGGAUAUGAAAUGCAAAUCCAACCGAAUGUAGCACAUAAAACUCACACUUUACCCCAUCCUCACCACCACCAUCAACAUACAAUAGAAAGAAGAACUCGUGAUGAUCAAAGUCUCGGUUAUCAUGGUACUAUUUCAGGUACCUAUUAUUACUAGCAAAGGACCGAAAGACGUAGAUGAGAUAGUUGAUAGUUGAUGAAUAAGAAGGAAAAAGACAGCUUUUAUCGACAGGAAAAUCGUCGUAUAUAAGCGCCCCAUCCCCAGCUCCACCAGCAGACGGAUCCUAUUUCAACAUGUCUGAUAGAUAUCUAAGUUAUCCACCGC
Molecule: unclassified non-coding RNA, 4539 nt
Filed under: Onthophagus taurus
Lineage: Eukaryota; Metazoa; Arthropoda; Insecta; Coleoptera; Scarabaeidae
Description: nephrin, transcript variant X3
Source: RNAcentral